AGUGGCAACCGCUGCCUGAGCAGUUCUAGCUGGGAGAGGUGGGUGCUGCAGAGUCUGGGAUUCCAGGGUGAAAGCCACAGGUUCGCCUGAAUAAGCUCUUACUGCUUGUGGUUCCUGAACUGAAGAUGCAGGCGGAUCUGGAGAUCCCCUGCGACCUCACGCUGGAUGCCCUGCUGGAGAUGAACGAGGCCAAGGUGAAGGAGACGCUGCGGCGCUGCGGGGCCAGCGGGGAUGAGUGUGGCCGUCUGCAGUAUGCCCUCACCUGCCUGCGAAAGGUGACAGGCCUGGGUACGUAGGGCCUGCUACCCUCUCCCUUGCUUGGCCUGGUGCCCUGGGGGCUGUGGCCUUCACCAUGGUGGGUGAUGGAGCGGGGGCAAGCAAGGCCCAGGGUUUCUGGGGCAGCCUGGAAAGGCCAGGGUUGGAUGUUCACAGCCUCCUGAGAAGCUGUCACGGGGUCCUCAGGGCUCUGGAGAAUGGUGGGUCUGGCCAGGCCGAAUCUGAGGGGGCUUCAGCCGUGGUUAGAAAUCCCAGGCCUGUCUGCUGGGCUGGGCUGGCCUGGCAUGGUUUCCUCUCUGUGGAGGGUUCUGUGUACCCUCUGCCAGCUUCCCACAUUCCAGCCCCCAGCCCUGUCCCCGCCUUCUCCUGUCCCCGUUGCUGACUGGGUUCUGUGCUCAGAAGGCACACGCUGAUGUGGGCCUGAGCCAAGGGUGAUUAGGGAAACUCUAUGGCUCUUUAGCUGGGAGUGUGUACGUGGCUGUCCCAGGCAAAGUGUGUAAUCCUGGCCUUGCCACGAGGUCCUUGGGAAUUAUUCACAGGCUUUCUAAAUCUUGCCUUGGUAACAGCUUCAAAUGCCUGACUUAAUGGUCCCACUACCACAUAGAUAAGGCAUUAAAAUAAGCCUCAUGAAUGGAAUCAGGCCUGGUUUUUAAUUAUCUGAGGCCCCUGUCUUAUCUCUGUCUGCCUGAGGCUUAAGGAAGGCACUGAGGUUUAUAUUCUGCCUGGUUUUUUUCAUCCCAGAGAGGAUCGGGCUUAAUUUCCUCUCUGCCCUCAUUGUAUCAAGUCCUCUGAACACGGCCCAGUGUAGAAAGUUGCACUCAAUUCAGAAAAUCUUGACCUGCCAGGUCUCCCGGCAGAUGCUGGAAAUAAACACAACAGAGGUGUGGCUGGUGUUCUUGUUCUCACAUAUUGCAGGAGGAGACUGAGCUCAGAGAGGGAAGGGGGUUGGGUAAGGGCACACAGCAGUUGGUGGCUGAGCCAGAAUUUGAACCUUGGGCCGUGAUGGCGAUUGGUUUGUCCCCAUGCUUGCCACCCAAGCUGAGAUCUUUGGGGUAAUUUGUCAGCCCAUCUUUCCUUCCUCCUUAUGCCUGGAUUUUAAAGAAUUGUGGAAGAGUCAGCUUUUAAGUGGUAGUGACCCAGUUGUGUCAUGCAGGCUGCUGUCCACCUGUCCUAGAUGCCAAAACAGGGAGAUCACUAAUUUAUGCACCUACUGUGUGCCAGGCGUGUGACACACAUAUUGUGGCCACACCGUUGUAAGAGGUAGUGUUGAGCUCACUUUGUAGCUGAGGCCUCUCUGACCACUGGAGGCGUUGGAUGAGUCAUCUGGGGCCCCACACCUGGCAUGGAGCAGAGCUGGGCUUUGAACUCAGGUUUCUUGUUCAGAGGGUGCUUUUUCCAGCAGGCCUUAGAGGAGGUCCCUGAAGAAGAAGCAUUUUCUGGGUUUCUUCUCUCUCAUUUAGUCUCAGCUUGUGGUGCCUCUGCAUCCCCAGCAGAGUCCUAACCCCAUCACAGUCCAGGAUACAGGCCUUUCGUCUGCCCAGUGCUGGCUGCACUUCACAGGCACCUGCUGGGAUCCGCUGGGUACCAGUGAUCCCAUCAGAUCAUGCAUCACAGCAUCUUCAUUGCAUCCCCAGGGGGCUUGGUGAGAGCAGUCUAGUCACAGUACGGGUGGGCUGUGGAAUCAGACCGCCUGGGCCCUGCCUGGGCCCAGCACUCUGCUCGGCCACUUAGAACCUGUGGGACCUUGGUGAGUUACUUCACCUCACUGUGCCUCAGUUUCCUCAUCUGUAAAAUGGCAGUGAUAACGACACCUCUCUCAGGGUUGUUGUGAAGAGGAAAUGAGUUAACGUAAAGUCCUUAGAUCAGAGCCUGGCAUGUAUUAGAUGUUCUUUUCAGUGUGAGGCCUAUGAGGUGAUAGAAAGCGUGGAAGUCAUUUCCUUUGCAAUCUCUGGUCUAAAGAAAGGUGACUGAACAGCUGGGCAUGGUGGCCCAGGCCUGUAAUCCCAGCAUUUGGGAGGCUGAGGCAGGCUGAUUGCUUGAGUUCGGGAGUUCAAGACCACCCUGGGCAACAUGGCAAAACCCUGUCUCUACAAAAAAUACAAAAGUUAGCCAAGAGUGAUUGUGCGUGCCAGUAAUCCCAGCUACUCAGGAAGCUGAGGUGGGAGCAUGGCUUGAGCCUGGGAGGUAGGGGUUGCAGUGAGCCAAGAUCGUACCACUGCACUCCAGCCUUGGUAACAGAGUCAGACCCUGUCUCACC
RNAcentral lists this small RNA (2533 nucleotides) under Pongo abelii (Sumatran orangutan). RNAcentral's name for it is "retained intron". Lineage: Eukaryota; Metazoa; Chordata; Mammalia; Primates; Hominidae. The record is from RNAcentral.